RNAcentral lists this ribosomal RNA (254 nucleotides) under uncultured bacterium. RNAcentral's name for it is "partial 16S ribosomal RNA". It matches the Rfam family "Bacterial small subunit ribosomal RNA", at positions 524 to 776 of the family's 1533-position model. The record is from RNAcentral.
UACGUAGGGUGCAAGCGUUAAUCGGAAUUACUGGGCGUACAGCGCGCGCAGGCGGUUGCCGACGUGCCGUGUGACAAACGGGGGCUCAACCCCCGAGGGCCACGGUAAACGGGGCGACUGGAGGAAGGGAGAGGGAUGUGGGAAUGCCCGGUGGAGCGGUGAAAUGCGUAGAGAUCGGGCGGAACACCAGCGGCGAAGGCGACUCUUUGGCCUGUAACUGACGCUGAGGCGCGAAAGCGUGGGGAGCAAACAGG